UACGUAGGGGGCAAGCGUUGUCCGGAAUCAUUGGGCGUAAAGCGCGUGUAGGCGGCUUGAUAAGUCUGCUCUGAAAGCCCGGGGCUCAACCCUGGGAGGCGGGUGGAUACUGUCGAGCUCGAGUCCGGAAGAGGAGUGUGGAAUUCCUGGUGUAGCGGUGAAAUGCGCAGAUAUCAGGAGGAACACCAAUGGCGAAGGCAGCACUCUGGGACGUGACUGACGCUGAGACGCGAAAGCGUGGGGAGCAAACAGG
Molecule: ribosomal RNA, 253 nt
Filed under: uncultured bacterium
Lineage: Bacteria
Description: partial 16S ribosomal RNA
Rfam family: Bacterial small subunit ribosomal RNA
Source: RNAcentral